UCAAGAAAAGAAGGGCUUAAGGUGGAUGCCUAGGUGUCAGGAGGCGACGAAGGACGCGGCAAGCGGCGAAACGCCACGGGAAGUUGCAAGCAAGCGUAGAUCCGUGGAUAUCCGAAUGGGGAAACCUAAUAGAGGCAAACCUCUAUUACCCUUGUCUGAAAAAAAUAGGGCAAGCGGGGCAAGACCUAGUGAACUGAAACAUCUAAGUAACUAGAGGAAAAGAAAUCAACCGAGAUCUCCUGAGUAGCGGCGAGCGAACGGGAGAGAGCCAAAACCAUAUAUGUGUAAAGCUGCAACUGUUGCAUAUAUGGGGUAGCGGGACAUAUAGGGAUAACUUGCAGGUUAUCAAAGUAGAAAAACGAGCGAUAUAGACGAAGGCCUUUGGAAAAAGCCGCCAUAGAGAGUGAAAGCCUCGUAGUCGAAAUAGAGCAAGCUACUUCAUAUGAUCCCAAGUACCUCCAGACACGAGAAACCUGGAGGGAAUCAGGGAGGACCACCUUCCAAGGCUAAACACUACCUGACAACCGAUAGCGAAUAGUACCGUGAGGGAAAGGUGAAAAGCACCCCGGGAGGGGAGUGAAAAAGAACCUGAAACCAUAAGCCUACAAAAAGUCAGAGCCCGAUUAAAACGGGUGAUGGCGUACCUUUUGCAUAAUGGGCCAGCGAGUUAUGGUAGCAAGCAAGGUUAAAUUCAAAAAGGAUGAAGCCGUAGCGAAAGCGAGUCUUAAUAGGGCGUCAAGUUUGUUGCUAUAGACCCGAAACUGAGUGAUCUAUCCAUGGCCAGGGUGAAGUCUCGGUAACACGAGAUGGAGGCCCGAACCAGAGUACGUUGAAAAGUGCGUGGAUGAGCUGUGGAUAGGGGUGAAAAGCCAAUCGAACUCAGAGAUAGCUGGUUCUCCUCGAAAUAGCUUUAGGGCUAGCGUCAAGCAUAUCCUUAUGGGGGUAGAGCACUGGUUAGGUUAGGGGCCUUACCCGGUUACCGACCCUUCCCAAACUCCGAAUACCAUAAGGUAGAAACUUGGCAGUCAGUCUAUGGGUGAUAAGGUCCAUAGACGAAAGGGAAACAGCCCAGACCGUCAGCUAAGGUCCCCAAAUCUAUGCUAAGUGGGAAAGGAAGUAGAGUUGCCUAGACAGCCAGGAUGUUGGCUUAGAAGCAGCCACCAUUCAAAGAGUGCGUAAUAGCUCACUGGUCAAGUGACUCUGCGCCGAAAAUGUAACGGGGCUAAGCAUAGUACCGAAGCUACGGAUCCGAUAUCGCCUUGAGAUGGCAGUGAAAAGAAACAAAACCCGCGAAAGCGAGCAAAAGCACAAAAAAGGUGCAGAACCGCUGACAUGUCACGGCGAUAUUGGGUGGUAGAGGAGCGUUCUUAAUAGGAAGAAGCUAUACCGAAAGGAGUAGUGGACAAUUAAGAAGUGAGAAUGCUGGCAUAAGUAACGACAAGGCAGGUGAGAAUCCUGUCCGCCGAAAACCUAAGGAUUCCUGGGGAAGGUUCGUCCGCCCAGGGUAAGCCGGGACCUAACCCGAGGCCAAACGGCGUAGGGGAUGGACAACUGGUUGAGAAUCCAGUGCCACCUAGAAUCGCUUGAGCGAAGUGGUGACGCAGGAGGAUAAGUGAAGCGCACGGUUGGAAGAGUGCGUCCAAGCAUGUAGGGUGCCAGGUAGGCAAAUCCGCCUGGUGAAAAGCCUGAGGUGUUAAGGGGAGGGAAGCGUAGUACCGAAGUCACCGACUCCAAACUGCCAAGAAAAGCCACUAGUAAGAAACUAGGUGCCCGUACCGUAAACCGACACAGGUAGGUAAGAAGAGAAUUCUAAGGCGCGCGAGAGAACCCUCGUUAAGGAACUCGGCAAAAUGACCCCGUAACUUAGGGAAAAGGGGUGCUCUAUUAGCGUGAAUUAAAACACAUUAACGAGCGUGAAAGAGCCGCAGUGAAUAGGCCCAGGCGACUGUUUAACAAAAACACAGGUCUCUGCAAAAUCGAAAGAUGAAGUAUAGAGGCUGACGCCUGCCCGGUGCUGGAAGGUUAAGGGGAAAGGUUAGCGUAAGCGAAGCUUUGAACCGAAGCCCCAGUGAACGGCGGCCGUAACUAUAACGGUCCUAAGGUAGCGAAAUUCCUUGUCUGGUAAGUUCAGACCCGCACGAAAGGCGUAACGAUCUGGGCACUGUCUCGACGAGGGGCUCGGUGAAAUUGUAAUACCGGUGAAGAUGCCGGUUACCUGCGAUAGGACAGAAAGACCCCGUGGAGCUUUACUGUAGCUUGA
Molecule: ribosomal RNA, 2260 nt
Filed under: anaerobic digester metagenome
Description: bacterial LSU rRNA
Rfam family: Bacterial large subunit ribosomal RNA
Source: RNAcentral